CCUACGGGUGGCAGCAGUGGGGGAUAUUGCACAAUGGGGGGAACCCUGAUGCAGCGAAGCCGCGUGGGUGAAGAAGCGCCUCGGCGCGUAAAGCCCUGUCAGCAGGGAAGAAAAUGACGGUACCUGAAGAAGAAGUCCCGGCUAACGACGUGCCAGCAGCCGCGGUAAUACGUAGGGGGCAAGCGUUAUCCGGAAUGAAUGGGUGGAAAGGGGGCGCAGACGGCGAUGCAAGCCAGGAGUGAAAGCCCGGGGCCCAACCCCGGGACUGCACUUGGAACUGGGGGGCUGGAGUGCAGGAGAGGCAGGCGGAACUCCAGGUGUAGCGGUGAAAUGCGUAGAUAGCAGGAAGAACACCGGUGGCGAAGGCGGCCGGCUGGACUGCAACUGACGUUGAGGCACGAAAGCGUGGGGAGCAAACAGGAUUAGAUACCCUUGUAGUC
This 440-nucleotide ribosomal RNA is filed under the name uncultured bacterium. RNAcentral's name for it is "partial 16S ribosomal RNA". It matches the Rfam family "Bacterial small subunit ribosomal RNA", at positions 338 to 795 of the family's 1533-position model. The record is from RNAcentral.